GAUGAACGCUAGCUACAGGCUUAACACAUGCAAGUCGAGGGGAAACGCCAUUGAAGCUUGCUUCGAUGGUCGUCGACCGGCGCACGGGUGAGUAACGCGUAUCCAACCUGCCUCUGACCAAGGGAUAACCCGUCGAAAGUCGGCCUAAUACCUUAUGCAGUCGUCGGAAGUCAUCUGAUGACGACGAAAGAUUUCAUCGGUGAGAGAUGGGGAUGCGUCUGAUUAGCUUGUUGGCGGGGUAACGGCCCACCAAGGCAACGAUCAGUAGGGGUUCUGAGAGGAAGGUCCCCCACAUUGGAACUGAGACACGGUCCAAACUCCUACGGGAGGCAGCAGUGAGGAAUAUUGGUCAAUGGGCGAGAGCCUGAACCAGCCAAGUAGCGUGCAGGAUGACGGCCCUAUGGGUUGUAAACUGCUUUUAUGCGGGGAUAAAGUGAGGGACGUGUCCUUCAUUGCAGGUACCGCAUGAAUAAGGACCGGCUAAUUCCGU
RNAcentral lists this ribosomal RNA (490 nucleotides) under uncultured bacterium. RNAcentral's name for it is "partial 16S ribosomal RNA". It matches the Rfam family "Bacterial small subunit ribosomal RNA", at positions 28 to 506 of the family's 1533-position model. The record is from RNAcentral.